RNAcentral lists this ribosomal RNA (484 nucleotides) under uncultured bacterium. RNAcentral describes it as "partial 16S ribosomal RNA". It matches the Rfam family "Bacterial small subunit ribosomal RNA", at positions 30 to 507 of the family's 1533-position model. The record is from RNAcentral.
AUUGAACGCUGGCGGCAGGCCUAACACAUGCAAGUCGAGCGGAUGAAGGGAGCUUGCUCCUGGAUUCAGCGGCGGACGGGUGAGUAAUGCCUAGGAAUCUGCCUGGUAGUGGGGGAUAACGUCCGGAGACGGGCGCUAAUACCGCAUACGUCCUGAGGGAGAAAGUGGGGGAUCUUCGGACCUCACGCUAUCAGAUGAGCCUAGGUCGGAUUAGCUAGUUGGUGGGGUAAAGGCCUACCAAGGCGACGAUCCGUAACUGGUCUGAGAGGAUGACCAGUCACACUGGAACUGAGACACGGUCCAGACUCCUACGGGAGGCAGCAGUGGGGAAUAUUGGACAAUGGGCGAAAGCCUGAUCCAGCCAUGCCGCGUGUGUGAAGAAGGUCUUCGGAUUGUAAAGCACUUUAAGUUGGGAGGAAGGGCAGUAAGUUAAUACCUUGCUGUUUUGACGUUACCAACAGAAUAAGCACCGGCUAACUUCGUG